RNAcentral lists this long non-coding RNA (226 nucleotides) under Gossypium barbadense (sea-island cotton). Its description in RNAcentral is "long non-coding RNA (GBAR_LNC006649)". Lineage: Eukaryota; Viridiplantae; Streptophyta; Magnoliopsida; Malvales; Malvaceae. The record is from RNAcentral.
GGUAAUGCUUAACAUUUCUUUUGUUUAGAGUAUGUCAUUUCUCCAUUUAUCAUGUAAAUAAACACAUAAUGAGAUGCAUGAAAAAGGUCAGGUAGGGAAAAAAUGAUAUUUCAUAUUCAUCUAUUUCAAAUGUGGCAAAUAAAGCAAGUUAAUCAAUGAGAGUAAAAAAUGUCAAAAAGAAAGAAAGGAUUGUAUUCAACUGAUAUAAAUACUUUAGAUAUUCGAC